RNAcentral lists this ribosomal RNA (500 nucleotides) under uncultured bacterium. Its description in RNAcentral is "partial 16S ribosomal RNA". It matches the Rfam family "Bacterial small subunit ribosomal RNA", at positions 30 to 523 of the family's 1533-position model. The record is from RNAcentral.
AUUGAACGCUGGCGGAAUGCUUUACACAUGCAAGUCGAACGGCAGCACGGACUUCGGUCUGGUGGCGAGUGGCGAACGGGUGAGUAAUGUAUCGGAACGUGCCCAGUCGUGGGGGAUAACGUAGUGAAAAUUACGCUAAUACCGCAUACGAUCUAUGGAUGAAAGCGGGGGAUCGCAAGACCUGGCGCGAUUGGAGCGGCCGAUAUCAGAUUAGGUAGUUGGUGGGGUAAAGGCCCACCAAGCCAACGAUCUGUAGCUGGUCUGAGAGGACGACCAGCCACACUGGAACUGAGACACGGUCCAGACUCCUACGGGAGGCAGCAGUGGGGAAUUUUGGACAAUGGGCGAAAGCCUGAUCCAGCCACUCCGCGUGCAGGAUGAAGGCCCUCGGGUUGUAAACUGCUUUUGUACAGAACGAAAAGGUUUCUACUAAUACCAGGAGCUCAUGACGGUACUGUAAGAAUAAGCACCGGCUAACUACGUGCCAGCCGCCGCAGUAA